UGGGGAAUUUUGGACAAUGGGCGCAAGCCUGAUCCAGCCAUGCCGCGUGCGGGAAGAAGGCCUUCGGGUUGUAAACCGCUUUUGUCAGGGAAGAAAUCUUCUGAGUUAAUACCUCGGGGAGGAUGACGGUACCUGAAGAAUAAGCACCGGCUAACUACGUGCCAGCAGCCGCGGUAAUACGUAGGGUGCAAGCGUUAAUCGGAAUACUGGGCGUAAAGCGUGCGCAGGCGGUUUUGUAAGACAGAGGUGAAAUCCCCGGGCUCAACCUGGGAACUGCCUUUGUGACUGCAAGGCUUGAGUGCGGCAGAGGGGGGCAUGGAAUUCCGCGUGUAGCAGUGAAAUUGCGUAGAUAUGCGGAGGAACACCGAUGGCGAAGGCAAUCCCCUGGGCCUGCACUGACGCUCAUGCACG
This 411-nucleotide ribosomal RNA is filed under the name uncultured bacterium. Its description in RNAcentral is "partial 16S ribosomal RNA". It matches the Rfam family "Bacterial small subunit ribosomal RNA", at positions 355 to 755 of the family's 1533-position model. The record is from RNAcentral.